UACACUCCUACGGGAGGCAGCAGUGAGGAAUAUUGGACAAUGGGUGGAAGCCUGAUCCAGCCAUCCCGCGUGCAGGAAGACGGCCCUAUGGGUUGUAAACUGCUUUUAUCUGGGGAUAAACCUACUUACGUGUAAGUAGCUGAAGGUACCAGAAGAAUAAGCACCGGCUAACUCCGUGCCAGCAGCCGCGGUAAUACGGAGGGUGCAAGCGUUAUCCGGAUUUAUUGGGUUUAAAGGGUCCGUAGGCGGACUGAUAAGUCAGUGGUGAAAUCCGACAGCUUAACUGUCGAACUGCCAUUGAUACUGUUAGUCUUGAGUAAGGUUGAAGUGGCUGGAAUAAGUAGUGUAGCGGUGAAAUGCAUAGAUAUUACUUAGAACACCAAUUGCGAAGGCAGGUCACUAAGUCUUAACUGACGCUGAUGGACGAAAGCGUGGGGAGCGAACAGGAUUAGAAACCCGGGUAGUCCCA
Molecule: ribosomal RNA, 469 nt
Filed under: uncultured organism
Description: partial 16S ribosomal RNA
Rfam family: Bacterial small subunit ribosomal RNA
Source: RNAcentral